This 234-nucleotide ribosomal RNA is filed under the name uncultured bacterium. RNAcentral describes it as "partial small subunit ribosomal RNA". It matches the Rfam family "Bacterial small subunit ribosomal RNA", at positions 26 to 288 of the family's 1533-position model. The record is from RNAcentral.
AGAACGAACGCUGGCGGCAGGCCUAACACAUGCAAGUCGAACGCUGUAGCAAUACAGAGUGGCAGACGGGUGAGUAACGCGUGGGAACCUUCCCAGUGGUGCGGAAUAGCUCAGGGAAACUUGAGGUAAUACCGCAUAAGCCCUUAGGGGGAAAGAUUUAUCGCCAUUGGAUGGGCCCGCGUCGGAUUAGCUAGUUGGCGGGGUAACGGCCCACCAAGGCGACGAUCGGUAGCC